This is a long non-coding RNA of Bradysia coprophila, 822 nucleotides long. RefSeq lists it as uncharacterized. The record is from RefSeq and is a predicted model, not a curated record. Lineage: Eukaryota; Metazoa; Arthropoda; Insecta; Diptera; Sciaridae.
UCUGAGGAAAAUUUCAAACUUAGCCAGUUCCUUGUGAGUACCUCGGGCGGCAGUUCGGAGCCUAUUUUUUUGCUUUUCGUAUUCAUAGUACUGUGAUUUUGGAAACCAAUUGACGAAUUCAGUAUAGACGACUUUUGUAUUUGAAGUGUUGCAUCUGAUAUUAAAAUGAUGCUAAAGUUUGGAGUAAUACUCGUGAUCCAACUCAUCUGUAGUUACUGCGCAACAUAUGCAUAUGAUGAUGGCAGCUACCAUGCAGACAACAGGGGUCAAUAUAUACCGGAUAAUAGGGGGAGAUACUUCUCAGACAAUAGUGGUCAAUAUAUACCGGAUAAUAGCGGGAGAUACAUUCCAGACUACGAAGGAUUUUAUAAGUUUGGACCGCAUGGACCACCAGGACCAGAUGGAAAAGGACCACCAGGACCACCAGGACCACUAGGACCACCAGGCCCGCCAAAACCAGAUCAGUCAACAAGUGCUGAUUUCAAGAAGCUUGAAAAUUACUCUGGAUGAAAUUUAUAUUUUAUAAUGUAGAUUCAUGUCAAACAAUACACUUACACUUUAUUCCAAUGCUUGACAAUGAAAAUUAUAUAUAGAUUCAGUAGAUUGAAUUCCCGUUUACUAUUUUAUCACGUUCACGGCGAAGAAAGAGGAUGAAGACUGUUGGAAUGAAUUUUCUGGCAUUUUUUUUCAUUCCAUAAUUAUUCUUCACAUAGACGUGCUGAGUGUCACAUUUACUAAUAAAAAAUACAUUCGUCGAGUCUCUACCCACGCGUGUUUGGUCUCAUUGGAUAGUAGAGACCCGUAGUAACGAGGUCUGAUAUG